AAUCUAACAGCCCUUUCUUCCUCUGUCAAUGGAGCCUCACCCCUAUCGGACGGAUGGUACAUCAAUAAAUUUUUUGCAGUGUAUUUCCAUCCUUCCAAGGUACUCGGCGGCUGAUCGGAAGUCCCAUAACCAUCAGUUAUUCUAUCUCUCUUCACAUCCUCAAUUGACUUCACAUCCUCCUUUUCACCCUCCGUCAAAUAAGCGUAUCUCUCCUUCCUCUUCCUAUUAUCUUUCUCCAGAAUUCUUGAAAAACUAAAAUUAUCCUCGCUCGUAUAUUGCCUAAAAAACUCAUCAAGCG
Molecule: unclassified non-coding RNA, 298 nt
Filed under: Hevea brasiliensis (rubber tree)
Lineage: Eukaryota; Viridiplantae; Streptophyta; Magnoliopsida; Malpighiales; Euphorbiaceae
Source: RNAcentral